GAUGAAGAACGCAGCGAAAUGCGAUACUUGGUGUGAAUUGCAGAAUCCCGUGAACCAUCGAGUCUUUGAACGCAAGUUGCGCCCGAAGCCAUUAGGCCGAGGGCACGCCUGCCUGGGCGUCACACGUCGUUGCCCCCCCAUCUACUCCUUCGGGAUUGCGGGGGGCGGAUGAUGGCCUCUCGUGCGCCUCGUCGCGCGGUUGGCCUAAAUGCCAAGUCCUCGGCGACGCACGCCACGACAAUCGGUGGUUGCGAAACCUCGGUUGCCUGUCGUGUGCGGUCGUCGCGCAUCGAGGGCUCGAAAAAAUUGCCGGGCUUCGGCUCGACUUUCAACGCGACCCCAGGUCAGGCGGGGUUACCCGCUGAAUUUAAGCAUAUUCAAUAAGCGGAGGA
RNAcentral lists this unclassified non-coding RNA (392 nucleotides) under soil metagenome. RNAcentral's name for it is "partial contains 5.8S ribosomal RNA, internal transcribed spacer 2, and large subunit ribosomal RNA". The stretch from base 1 to 122 matches the Rfam family "5.8S ribosomal RNA", at positions 35 to 154 of the family's 154-position model. The record is from RNAcentral.